UGAUAAGAUAUUAGUUAUAGACUUUGGUUUAUCAUCAUAGAGGUUCCCAGAAUUGAACAUUGUAAGUAGGUUAAACAUACUGUAUAUUGUCCAUUUUAAAGUAAUAACAUUUAAACAAAGGGUCUGGAUUACACCCCCUGGGGUGGAUAACAAUUGGCUGGAGUUGGUGGUUGUUAACCAAUAGGGGGUGCUCCUCUGACUGCACCAAGUAGAUCACUGAACUGAAGAAGUCAUGCGGUUGGCAGGAGCAUUGGAUUUUAGUCACACUAUAGUAUACCUUUAAGGUAUUCUAAGCUUGGCUGCAUUACAUUUGAUCAUAGAAGACACACACAGUAGUGUCAGCCCAACAGGACGCUCAGGUCUGUCUAUCUGGCCUCUUGUAAUCUGGGUUGUAAUUUUAGUUGAGAAUGUAACACAGAGAAUGCUUGUUAUGAUGAUGAUAUCGACCAAAACAAACGUUAUGUAGUUCAGCAAUCGGGUUUGAUUCUCAUGAGAAGGAGAAAUAUAUAAGUUUCCAAUUAAGGAAUUGGUAAGGUUGCUGACCAAAACAAAUGGUGUAGUUAAUAAUACCUUUACCUAUAUUUGGUGCCCCGCAUGAGGAUAACAUAAUAUUAACCGGGUUUUUUUGCAUUUUAUGAAGCCUUUUAUUUACAGAUCUGUUCGCUAAAAUAUAAUAAUGUAUCUAAUAAUAAAAAUAAUAAUAAUCUAAUCAUUUUUAUGGGGGGAGAUUAUGUUCCCAAGUUUACCUGAUUGACAGGUGCGGUUGGUAAUCUAUCAAUUCAGAUUAAAAAAAGGAAGGGGGAAAAAUGACAUCAAGUACAGUAUAGAAGCCAUCUUAUUAAUGCAGUAUAUUUUCCUCUUGCAUAGACACAUGGUUGAACAUUACUGUGAAAAAUAAAUAACUGUAAAUUAAUUAGUAGUUAUUAAUAUGCAUGUCAGAUGCAAAUGACAAGUCUUUCUAUACCUCUAGGUCCUCUGUUACUUUCCUUGCAUAUUCCACAUGGCAGUAGAAUGAUCACAAUCACAACCAGUGCAAGAGCGG
RNAcentral lists this long non-coding RNA (1042 nucleotides) under Salmo salar (Atlantic salmon). Its description in RNAcentral is "lncRNA (ENSSSAG00000082629.1)". The record is from RNAcentral. Lineage: Eukaryota; Metazoa; Chordata; Actinopteri; Salmoniformes; Salmonidae.